RNAcentral lists this transfer RNA (66 nucleotides) under Ceraclea indistincta. RNAcentral describes it as "tRNA-Ile". The record is from RNAcentral. Lineage: Eukaryota; Metazoa; Arthropoda; Insecta; Trichoptera; Leptoceridae.
AAUAAAGUGCCUGAAUAAAGGAUUAUUUUGAUAGAAUAAAUCAUAUAACUUAAGUUAUCUUUAUUA